This is a non-coding RNA of Epicoccum nigrum, 95 nucleotides long. Lineage: Eukaryota; Fungi; Ascomycota; Dothideomycetes; Pleosporales; Didymellaceae. The record is from the annotation of a GenBank genome assembly.
GUCGCUUUAGCUCACUUGGGAGAGCGCCAGACUGAAGUCAACGUCUUCUCGGUCAUUACAUCUGGAGGUACUGUGUUCGAUCCACAGAAGCGACA